AAUCUCGUAGGUGCUUCACAGGAAACAGUUCAAUGUUUGCUGGAAUGGAAAAUAUCGUUCAUGUCUAAAUGAGGCCUACAAAGCAAGCUAAGCUUUGGCUACGUUUGGAAGAGAAUAUAUCUUUUCAAUUCAAGUAAAAGUUGAACUGUUUCCUCUGAAGUUCCUGCAGAUUUC
Non-coding RNA from Brachypodium distachyon (stiff brome), 174 nucleotides. NCBI's taxonomy places the organism in Eukaryota, Viridiplantae, Streptophyta, Magnoliopsida, Poales, Poaceae. The record is from RefSeq and is marked provisional.